GCCAGCACAGAAUCCAAGGCAUGAGGAUGUUAAAAGUAGAAAAAUGAAAUUUUCAAAGCUAAGCAGGGUUGGGCCUGGUUAGUACUUGGAUGGGAGACCACCUACGAAGACCAGGUACUGUGCGUGUA
Non-coding RNA from Pteropus alecto (black flying fox), 128 nucleotides. The record is from Rfam. NCBI's taxonomy places the organism in Eukaryota, Metazoa, Chordata, Mammalia, Chiroptera, Pteropodidae.